RNAcentral lists this ribosomal RNA (393 nucleotides) under uncultured bacterium. RNAcentral describes it as "partial 16S ribosomal RNA". It matches the Rfam family "Bacterial small subunit ribosomal RNA", at positions 523 to 918 of the family's 1533-position model. The record is from RNAcentral.
AUACGGAGGAUCCGAGCGUUAUCCGGAUUUAUUGGGUUUAAAGGGUGCGUAGGCUGUGCGUUAAGUCAGGGGUGAAAUGCCGUCGCUCAACGACGGAGCUGCCCUUGAUACUGGCGUGCUGGAGUACGGAUGCCGUUGGAGGAAUGAGUGGUGUAGCGGUGAAAUGCUUAGAUAUCACUCAGAACACCGAUUGCGAAGGCAUCUGACGAAUCCGUCACCGACGCUGAGGCACGAAAGCGUGGGGAUAGAACAGGAUUAGAUACCCUGGUAUUCCACGCCGUAAACGAUGAUGACUAACCGUCGGCGAUAGACAGCCGGUGGCCAAGCGAAAGCGAUAAGUCAUCCACCUGGGGAGUACGUCGGCAACGAUGAAACUCAAAUGAAUUGACGGGG